GAUCUGGUGAGAAGUCACUUGUUUAAUAACCGGCUGGAUUACCUAUGACCAUCACCUGUCACACAUGGUUGGUAUAAUUAUAUCCAAACCAAAGCAAAAUUUGAAAAUACAGAUCUGCUCCUGGAAGCACUAAUUUACUUCAGAGAAGAUCAUGGGCAUUCAAGAAACUCUUUAUGGAGUUUGUUUUCAUUGUGGUAAGGUUAGCUUCUGGACAAAGAAACUGCUCUUAAUUGACUGCCAACAAUAUACUGUAUAACCUGGACAUGUAGGACACACCAUAAAAAGACAGCUGAACUUUUCCAAAACAAGGCAGGACAUUUCUUCAAAAUUCCUUCUUCACAGAAGAGUCUACUAGAUAUUCUGCAGGACACAGAGAAAGGCAACGGAUGAACUUUGUCAAUACACAGUGGGAUAGUCCUUCAAA
This is a long non-coding RNA of Peromyscus maniculatus bairdii (prairie deer mouse), 424 nucleotides long. RefSeq lists it as uncharacterized. Lineage: Eukaryota; Metazoa; Chordata; Mammalia; Rodentia; Cricetidae. The record is from RefSeq and is a predicted model, not a curated record.